UCCCAAGUGGUGCAAUAUUUUGGUGUUGCGCUUCCAAACACCUGUCCAGUGUUAAUUUUACAUACGGGAACUUGAAGGAAUUGAGACAAUGCAGUCCGCAUUUGACAAUCUACCCUGUUUGGAAAAAUGGCGGCUCUUUCGAUGGAAUCGUGCGAUUGAAAAAGAAACAAAAAGAAACUGUGGCGCAAAGAUCAACGCUGGGUCAGUGCUAUUUCACAACCGGGACAUUUCAUUCGUCAUGCUGUUGGCCAUUUGAAACACCGCGCUUGAAGCAUACAGAUAACGUUGUUCUUUUCUCAAAUCAGAGCACGAUAAUGCCACAGCAAACCAUCGACAGAAUGCUGUUUAAAGUGCAGUACCAACAUCACAGAAAGUACAUAAACCUUACUGGAUCGUCUUAUGAUUGUGUAAUCAAGGAUGGUAAGUGUUUCUGAAUGGUGAUAUCUGGCUAAUAAUUGUAAUAUGGUUUGUAUGCAUUUCUUUGUUAAUAACAAAUCUUUUCUUUAAGUCUUUCCCCACUUUGAUGCUCCCAGAUAUUCUCAUUUACAAAUACAAUAUGAUGGAACAAAUAUAAUGUAAAAGCAGAAACACUGCUCUUAAACAAAUAAACUUUUAUUCUAUAUUCAUUAUUUCUUUUUUUCCCCUGUUCACCUAUUUCUGUUCUAUAAUUUACAUGUUGUCUUUCUAGUUAAGCAGAAGUUUGACAUCUGACGAGCAGACGAGACUGGAACAGAAGUAGAUGAUGUUUUUGCUGACAUUAUUGACCAAAAGCCUGACACUUUUGAUGGUAGUUGAUUCUGUAGCAGACUCUCCUGCACACAGAAGCUGUCAUCUUCAUUCAGUUGCAUCAUCGUCAGACACAUAGCAAUCAGACAGCGAUGGUCCUUUCUUCCCACCUAAAAGAGCUCGUUCUGAUGACCAUUUGCAAGAAGCUAAGGAGCUUGUGAAAAGUGUUUUAGAAAAGCCUGCUGGGAUAUUUCAGAACACUGCCACAGCAGUCAAGGAGACUGAGACAGUGAUAUGUCUUCCCUGUUAUUGCUUGUGUAUCCUGCCACCACCUCCUAUUGGAAAUAAGAAGUCUGUCAAGAAUAGUGUGUGUGAAGCUUUGGAUCGUAAGUCCUCUUGCGGUUUUGAAGUCCUUGGAUCAACACAGCCCUACAUCUUGACAGUUGGCACUUCGAAGAGUAACAUCCUUGACUACUACAUUGCUGCGGAAGAGCGGCUCAUCCCCUGCAUGACUAAGUCCUCUCUCUCAACCUUUGUACUUUUCAAUGUAUUUAUAUUUUAUUUUUUCUGAAAACUAUGAAGUGGUAUCAUGAAUGACUUGCUAGAGGUAGUAGCACAGUUAGAGAUGAAGUUGCUUUUUGAUUAUCUGUCGGAGAGCUAAGUUGUGUCCUUACAGUCUUCGAACAACAGAAUUUACUCAUUUAACUAUGGUUAUUUUGAACGUAAAAACUGACCUACCAUGGUUGAUUUUUGGUUUACUGCAGAUAAUAAAUGGUGUUUUCUCCAGUCAUCUCGAAUGGAAUGACUUCAUCUGAAACAUUUGAUCUGUGAACACCACACGCUGUUCAAAGAACUCUGUCUGAGAAUUAUUAUUCCCAAGCUUCACAUCAUGAUCCACCAUCCCCGAAGCAUCAGGAAGAUAGGCCCGCUUUUUCAUGUUAGGGGGAUGCAAUGUGAGGCAAAACAUUGCUAUUUUUUUUUUUUUUACAUUAGCACUUAAACGGUAGUAAUAAGAAAUUGCAUUAAUGACUGAAAUUCAAAUUUAAAUAUAUUUUUUUUAAUGCUGUGUAACAUAUUAUUUUUAUGCAUGCUGUACUAAUUGUGUUUGUAAACACAACAUGAAUUGCAUUUCUUUGUGGUAAUAAAUCU
Molecule: long non-coding RNA, 1875 nt
Organism: Carassius auratus (goldfish)
Lineage: Eukaryota; Metazoa; Chordata; Actinopteri; Cypriniformes; Cyprinidae
Exons: 7
Source: RefSeq, a predicted model, not a curated record